AAUUUUCUAUAGGCAAAUCCGUAGAGAAUGCUGAAGUCCAACAGUACCAGGAGGCUCCGGCCGAAUGGAUAGAGAAUGUAAGCAGACUUCCGAGAAAAUCUUCUAAGCAUAUUGAUACGGUACCCGUACCGCAAACCGACACAGGUAGUCAAGGAGAGAAUCCUGAGGUGCUCGAGUGAGUCAUGGCUAAGGAACUAGGCAAAUUAAACCUGUAACUUCGGGAAAAGGGUUGCCUCUCUUUAGCAAUAAAGAAGGUCGCAGAGAAAUGGCCCAGGCGACUGUUUAACAAAAACACAUGGCUAUGCGAAAUCGUAAGAUGAAGUAUAUGGCCUGACACCUGCCCGGUGCUGGAAGGUUAAGGGGGGAAGUUAGUCGCAAGGCGAAGCUUUGAACUGAAGCCCCAGCAAACGGCGGCCGUAACUAUAACGGUCCUAAGGCAGCGAAAUUCCUUGUCGGGUAAGUUCCGACCUGCACGAAUGGUGUAACGAUCUGGGCACUGUCUCAGCCAUGAGCUCGGUGAAAUUGUAGUCACGGUGAAGAUGCCGUGUACCCGUCACGGGACGGAAAGACCCCAUGCACCUUUACUAUAGCUUCGCAUUGACAUUGGGUAGAUGAUGUGUAGGAUAGGUGGGAGGCGUUGAUCCUGUGCCGCUAGGUAUAGGGGAGCCAACGGUGAAAUACCACCCUUUAUUUAUCUGAUGUCUAAUCCGCAAGACCUGCGGAGACAGUGCGUGGUGGGUAGUUUGACUGGGGUGGUCGCCUCCGAAAGUGUAUCGGAGGCUUUCAAAGGUAUGCUCAAUACGCUUGGUAACCGUAUGUGGAGUGCAAUAGCAUAAGCAUGCUUGACUGUGAGACUGACAGGUCGAGCAGGGUCGAAAGACGGAUAUAGUGAUCCGGUGGUUCUGUAUGGAAGGGCCAUCGCUCAAAGGAUAAAAGGUACGCUGGAUAACAGGCUGAUCUCCCCCAAGAGCUCACAUCGACGGGGAGGUUUGGCACCUCGAUGUCGGCUCGUCACAUCCUGGGGCUGGAGAAGGUCCCAAGGGUUAGGCUGUUCGCCUAUUAAAGUGGCACGCGAGCUGGGUUCAGAACGUCGUGAGACAGUUCGGUCCCUAUCUGUGAUGGGCGUAGGAAGUUUGAGAGGAUCUGACCUUAGUACGAGAGGACCGGGUUGGACCAACCGCUGGUGUACCGGUUGUGGCGUCAGCUGCAUCGCCGGGUAGCUACGUUGGGACGAGAUAAGCGCUGAAAGCAUCUAAGCGCGAAACUCACCUCAAGAUGAGACUUCCAUUAAGGGACGUCAGAGACUAUGACGUUGAUAGGCUGCAGGUGUAAAGGCAGAAAUGUCAAAGCUGAGCAGUACUAAUUACCC
RNAcentral lists this ribosomal RNA (1369 nucleotides) under metagenome. RNAcentral's name for it is "bacterial LSU rRNA". It matches the Rfam family "Bacterial large subunit ribosomal RNA", at positions 1524 to 2910 of the family's 2925-position model. The record is from RNAcentral.